AUCUGGACUGUGCUUCUUUUUUUUCUUCUUUUUUUUCUAAAGGUAGAGUCAUUGAGAAAAGAGAAGAAGAAGUAGAAGUGGUGGAUAGACAGACGCCCGCAACUGAUGUGAGACUAGCAGCAACAACCCACACGGCUACGAGGCCAGGAAACGGGUGACAUGGCUGUUUUCACGUCUGAGAUGAAAUCAGCCGGCACUGGGUGCCAGUAGGAGGGAUAUCCGUCAAGUCGAGCUGCCCUGGGGCCAAACAACCUUUCCUGCAAGGCCCUGCUCCCUUAUCUGAUUCCAGCAGACGGCGCUGGAUGAUGG
Scophthalmus maximus (turbot) is the source of this 309-nucleotide long non-coding RNA. RefSeq lists it as uncharacterized. The transcript has 3 exons. The record is from RefSeq and is a predicted model, not a curated record. Lineage: Eukaryota; Metazoa; Chordata; Actinopteri; Pleuronectiformes; Scophthalmidae.